UUGGAAUGACAACGCCCGAUUCUUGCUAAUUUAAGAUUGCAAGCAGUCAUCAUUGUUACCUAGGUUGAGUUUCUUCAAUGCUUAUGUGUUUUGAAAUGUUUACUCUAGGAUCCAUUAUGCUUGUAGUUGUUAAAGCCAUUAUAAGCUAAAAAUCUUUAUGUUGAGCAAUGUGAUAUUUAUUAGUAAUGAAUCUUUAUGCUUAUGAUGUGUGUUAGUGAUUGAUUUUAGCAUUUGUGUUAUUGUUA
This 245-nucleotide long non-coding RNA is filed under the name Lathyrus oleraceus (garden pea). Its description in RNAcentral is "Pisum sativum (pea) long non-coding RNA (PSAT_LNC010966)". The record is from RNAcentral. Lineage: Eukaryota; Viridiplantae; Streptophyta; Magnoliopsida; Fabales; Fabaceae.